AUACGUAGGUGGCGAGCGUUGUCCGGAAUUACUGGGCGUAAAGGAUGCGUAGGUGGAUAUUUAAGUGGGAUGUGAAAUCCCCGGGCUCAACCCGGGAACUGCAUUCCAAACUGGGUAUCUAGAGUGCAGGAGAGGAAAGCGGAAUUCCUAGUGUAGCGGUGAAAUGCGUAGAUAUUAGGAGGAACACCAGUGGCGAAGGCGUCUUUCUGGACUGAAACUGACACUGAGGCAUGAAAGCGUGGGUAGCAAACAGGAUUAGAUACCCUGGUAGUCCACGCCGUAAACGAUGGGUACUAGGUGUAGGAGGUAUCGACCCCUUCUGUGCCGUCGUUAACACAAUAAGUACCCCGCCUGGGGAGUACGGUCGCAAGACUAAAACUCAAAGGAAUUGACGGGG
RNAcentral lists this ribosomal RNA (397 nucleotides) under uncultured bacterium. Its description in RNAcentral is "partial 16S ribosomal RNA". It matches the Rfam family "Bacterial small subunit ribosomal RNA", at positions 523 to 918 of the family's 1533-position model. The record is from RNAcentral.